Molecule: long non-coding RNA, 1448 nt
Filed under: Homo sapiens (human)
Lineage: Eukaryota; Metazoa; Chordata; Mammalia; Primates; Hominidae
Description: HSALNT0266437
Source: RNAcentral
GGACUACAGGCACCUGCCACCACACCCGGCUAAUUUUUGUAUUUUCAGUAGAGACGGGAUUUCACCAUGUUGGCCAGGCUGGUCUUGAACUCCUGACCUCAGGUGAUCCACCCGCCUUGGCCUCCCAAAGUGCUGGAAUUACAGGCAUGAGCCACUGUGCCCAGCCUCUCCCAUGGUUUUUAUUCCCCCUUUUGAUUGAGUGGCCACCACACGAUGCUCCAGGAUUCUGCAUUCCCCCUUUAAUUUAAUGCCUCCCCAGUCCCUACUAGCCAGGAUUAGCACCGAUUUUAGAGAGCAGAAGACACUGUCUCAGACAGCGGCCAUGCCUUGCCUAACAUCACACAGCUGGCCAGUGGCGGAAUCUAGAAUGAGGCUCUGCCCUCUUUCCCACCCUUAAUCCUGCCGCUGGGCACAGCACUUCUGAGUUAUCUUUACUGAGCACUUAUGAUGUGCCCGACACUGGGCUAACUCUUUUCCAGGCUUAAGUCCCAGAUCAGCUAUGUCAGGCAGAUGAUCAUGGUCACCAUUUUGCAAAUGAGGAAAUGCAGGCCCAGAGAGGCAAUGCCACCAUUCCAGAGUCACACAGCUAGAAAGCAGCAGGGUUAGGACCCAAAUUGAGGUCUGGCUGGUUACCCAAAGCCCCUGCAAGAUAAAUAUACCCAGACUUAGCCACGUUUUGGAAUCCUCCCAUCAUUUGUCUUCUACAUGAUCUGUCUCCACCUACCCCACAGUGUCAUAGCACUUCCUCUUUCACUCCCAAAGUGCUAACUUCGACCCCAUUCAGUGCUUAAAGGAAGGACCUUCACCAGGGCUGGGCACUGUGCCAGGGACAGCAGCUCCCCAUUUGCUUGGGGCCAUCAAUGCACAGAAAAUUUGCAAGAACUGUACCUGCUUUGUGGAAAGUAAUUGUCAGUGUGCGUGUUGGCCUCUGCCCCUGCUGGUGGGGUCUAAGGAUGGACACAUGUGGGGGUGCUCUGUGGGGCCCAGAGCCCCACACAGGACAGGACCCAGCCAGGCCCCAGGCUGGCUGCUGAGGACACACAGAUGGCAGAAUCAUGAUCCCCAACCUUAAGGAGCCCCAGUCCAGCGGAGGAGAAAGGGCUAACCCACAACCCUUCAACCAACCAGACCCUGUGCCAGCUCUGGGGGAACGAAGGUGAACGAAGACAAGGUGCCCAGACUUCAAAGGACCCAGGGGAGGACCCUGACCCGGUGAAAACUCCUUUAAAUUUUCUCUGGGAGUGUUGGAUGAAGCAUUCAGGGAACAUUCCAUGGGACAGGAGGAAGAAGACUCCAGCCUGCAGUGGGGCAAGGCCCCCUCCAUCUGUCAGUCCAUAGGAAGUGGCUCUCCAUAUUCUAAAGGCAGGACUUGAGAGGGGUCUAUUAGUGUCCAGAUGUGGAAUCCGGGACUUAGGGAAAUACUUGAGCGCUGAAAGAAUAAACUGUGU